GACGAACGCUGGCGGCGUGCUUAACACAUGCAAGUCGAACGGUGAAGGGACUGGUUUUGCUGGUCCUGGAUGAGUGGCGAACGGGUGAGUAACACGUGAGUAACCUUCCCCCUUCUUCUGGAUAACCGCAUGAAAGUGUGGCUAAUACGGGAUAUUCUGGGUCUGUCGCAUGGUGGGCCUGGGAAAGAUUGCGCCUUUUUUGGUGUCUUUGGUGGGGGAUGGGCUCGCGGCCUAUCAGCUUGUUGGUGGGGUGAUGGCCUACCAAGGCGGUGACGGGUAGCCGGCCUGAGAGGGUGGACGGUCACACUGGGACUGAGAGACGGCCCAGACUCCUACGGGAGGCAGCAGUGGGGAAUAUUGCACAAUGGGCGCAAGGCUGAUGCAGCGACGCCGCGUGAGGGAUGGAGGCCUUCGGGUUGUGAACCUCUUUCGCCAGUGAAGCAGGCCUGCCUCUUUUUGUGGGUGGGUUGACGGUAGCUGGAUAAGAAGCGCCGGCUAACUACGUG
This 506-nucleotide ribosomal RNA is filed under the name uncultured bacterium. Its description in RNAcentral is "partial 16S ribosomal RNA". It matches the Rfam family "Bacterial small subunit ribosomal RNA", at positions 28 to 507 of the family's 1533-position model. The record is from RNAcentral.